GAUGAACGCUGGCGGCGUGCCUAAUACAUGCAAGUCGAGCGAACAGACGAGGAGCUUGCUCCUCUGACGUUAGCGGCGGACGGGUGAGUAACACGUGGAUAACCUACCUAUAAGACUGGGAUAACUUCGGGAAACCGGAGCUAAUACCGGAUAAUAUAUUGAACCGCAUGGUUCAAUAGUGAAAGACGGUUUUGCUGUUACUUAUAGAUGGAUCCGCGCCGCAUUAGCUAGUUGGUAAGGUAACGGCUUACCAAGGCAACGAUGCGUAGCCGACCUGAGAGGGUGAUCGGCCACCAUGGAACUGAGCCACGGUCCAGACUCCUACGGGAGGCAGCAGUAGGGAAUCUUCCGCAAUGGGCGAAAGCCUGACGGAGCAACGCCGCGUGAGUGAUGAAGGUCUUCGGAUCGUAAAACUCUGUUAUUAGGGAAGAACAAAUGUGUAAGUAACUAUGCACGUCUUGACGGUACCUAAUCAGAAAGCCACGGCUAACUACGUG
Molecule: ribosomal RNA, 497 nt
Filed under: uncultured bacterium
Lineage: Bacteria
Description: partial 16S ribosomal RNA
Rfam family: Bacterial small subunit ribosomal RNA
Source: RNAcentral